Long non-coding RNA from Cannabis sativa, 1465 nucleotides. RefSeq lists it as uncharacterized. The record is from RefSeq and is a predicted model, not a curated record. NCBI's taxonomy places the organism in Eukaryota, Viridiplantae, Streptophyta, Magnoliopsida, Rosales, Cannabaceae. The transcript has 3 exons.
CUAUUUAAUAAUAUAACGGUACAUAUAUAUAAUAUAUUCAGAAGUCUUGGGCAGGCAAAGCCAUCCAGCUUUCCUUCACAUUGAAACUACUACUCUAUUUGGUUCACCAACUGCCAACAAACACAAUUUUGCCACAAAGUCCUCAAAUUAAUUAUAUAUGUUUAUUAUAGUUUUCUUAUUAUUUAUUUUCCUUUCUCAUUUAGGAGAGUAGAAGUUUUUGUUGUAGCUAGUUAUAAUUAGAUAUUAUGUAGUAGCUAAUAUUGGUAUGGUAAGAGAUGUACCAACCAGUGUCACAAGAAGAAGCACAAAAUGAAUAAUUUUGUCUUAGAAGAGAAGUUUGGGGUGAAGAUAUAUUGAAGAUGUGUAUUAUAGGCCCAAAUGUUAUGUUUGUUGGUGAUAAGUUGGGACCAGCAUAAGCAUAUGUAAUGUAACCCAAUUUUGGGUCCAAUAUCAAUUUCAUCCAAUUACCAAACUUGAUCGAUCGUUGCUUUUGCUACUCCUCUUUUAUGCUCUUUUGUUGCGUAAACAACAAAGGAAGUUCAAAAUGUGACCGAAUCAUCCUGGUAUUUUUCUUUACAACACAACUAGAUCAGACUGUUCAUAAGUAAUUAGGUUGUGGCUGUCACUUUGAUGCAAUAGGAGAUUGGAAUUUGGUAACUAAUACUUAUGAAAAAGGUGUAAUACCACCCAGUAUGGCCCUGAGUUUGAGUGGUAAGACCUUAUGCAAAAUAUACUAUUUUUAAAUUUGUGUACAUAAAAUGAUAAUUUUCAAAUUUUUGGGGCUUUUGCGCAUGUAAGAAUGUGACAUUUUUCCGAAUUUAACGGUCUCUUUUUAUGAUUCUAGGCACAACUCAAGAACUAGGUCUGAUCAGUAUUACUAAUAUAUUUUUAUGAUCACAAUAUUAAAGAUAAGAUAUAUAUAUAUGUUUACUUAGCUAAGAUAAUGUACUCAAUCGAAACAUUUGAGAUAAUUAAUCCUAUAUAAUAUACCAAAAAUAAAAUUUAUAUUUGUUUAAACAAAAUUUAUAUUUUGUAAGAUUCUAUGUAUAUUUAAUUUUUAUACGUAUAUUUGUUUAAAUAAAUUUAUAUUUUGUAAGAUUCUAUUUUUCACAGCGAAUUGAAAGUGGUAUACACGUAUAAUAAUUUCCCAAGAAACAUAUUUACUAAAAUAAAAUGUAAAAUAAUUAGGUGGUUCAUUUUAAAUGAAAAGAGUAUUAUUAGUGAGCACGGGUAACUAGUAUAUUUUAUAAGAGGCACACUAUAAUUAAGUAAUAAUAUUUUUUAAAAAUUAUUUUCUUAAAUUAUAUAAAAAUUUAUUAAUAUAGUUGAAGUCAAAGGGACCAGAGAAGUUGUCAUUCUUUCCCUUUUAUGAUGCAAAUUGCAGCCGUUAUAUAUUAUAGGAUAAGUUAAACAUAACACACACUCAUAGAUAGUCAUAUAUACUUAUGAUGUGUUCCUUUUCCUU